AACAAUCCAAUAAAUUAAAAAUUAGUCACGCGAAACAAGAAUGAACACAUGUCACCUACCUUGGCCAAUGUUAAAUUAUAACUAACUAUAAGAUAAAUGAAGACAUUUUCUAAAGAACUCGACUGAAUCCUCCAGUCACACAAGCAAUGGAUUUUCGAUAACCGGCUGAACAUUAGGUAUGUACACAUGAUCGUUCCCGAAAGUUAAUUCUAUUCGAUAAAAGUUAUCAAACGUUUGAUUGCACAUUAUCUUUUCCCACUGCUUUAGCCUGUGUACUUGAAAACUGACUUUCUCUUUGUUGGUUAACGAGUUUUGCAGUUAAAUAUAGAAAUCAAGAGCUUCCACAGUGGUGGUCCGGAUUUAAAGAAAUUAUUCCGUAUGGGUUGUUUUAUCGUUCAGUUGUACACAACGUUGUUAACAAAACACAAGAUAAUGAACUUGACCCGCAACGUUCACCUCUACACAUUUAGACGAACAUUACAACUACAAACACUCCGAACAGUGGGAACCAUAUGUUUGCGCAAGUUAUUUUUUUCUAUUUUAAUGAAGUGGUAUAAUAGCAGGACGGUGUAAUUUAAACACAUGAUUAAUUUGCGUAUUGUCUCUUAGUCCGUGCCAAUAAGCAUGUCUUUCCAGUUGCAAAAACGAAUUUAAAACAUUUAUUCCGAGUUUGAUGACUAGUGAAGCCUUCUACUUUAAAACAUGAUAAUAAUAAGUCUUGCAAUGAGUAAAUUUUAUUCAUUUUUGCAAAUAAGUUGGGGCUCAACCGGCAUCAAUAUACAAACGCAAUGUUAAACACAAACUAUAAUUGUAAUCAAAAAAUUGUAUAUUGGAAACUUACGCACCUUACUUUCCUGUAUACAACCUGAUUAUUUUACAGUUUCGAGUUAAGCUUCAUGCGACUAACAACUUUUCCGAACUCGACUGAAGAGUCUGUUAGAUACCAAGAAGACGAAAUCCCAAACACUUUUCCCUCUUUCUUCCAUUUUAAUAUUCAUGAAGUAAAGCGGUUGGGCAGGUUUGCUAUCACCUAUGCCUAUCACGAAAGCAUUCAUAUUUCCUUAACAUGGACUUUUUAGGUAUACUUUAGCCAAAGAGUAGGUAAUAAUAUAAAUAAUAGUAAUAUUUGGAUAUAAAUAAUAAUUAUAUUUAACUACUCUUUGCAUUGAAUCUUCACGCAUUCGUUUUCAUUUUUUGAUGAUUCAUUUUUUCAAGCUAAACUUUUCGUUGUUAGUUGUCAAAUAUUAUGGUAAACACACAAAAAGAAUAAAACCUUACAAAUAUUACUUCGGCUUGCUUCAGGAAAUUCGAGGAUAUGGAACCUAUGUUAAUAAAUACAUUCAAAGUGUUUUGCAAGAUUUCAAUACCACGUUUUAUAGAACCCAAAAAAAUGGCAAAAAGAUUGUUUUAUUAAUUGAACUAUUGAAUCAAAGACAUUUACGAAGGCUACUUUGUGAGCCAAUUUUCCUUAUUACUAUUUAUUAUGAAUAUGUAGCUAAUUUAAGUCCAAGAGUUACUAAAAAACACUAACCUGGUGAUUAAAUGCACACCGACACUUACUUAUCUUACGCACGGUUUCUGCUAAAUAAAAGUGAUUUCAGAUUUUCCUUCUAAAACCCCUCCAAACUUUGAAAUGGUUGGAAGCUGAAACCAGGUAGAUUUCAGGCCCUUCGCUUAUUGGUAAAUAUUUAUGGUCCCCAUAUGGAGCAUUCCUGUCAUUUAUCGUUAAGCAGGAAAGUUGUUAAACCUCCCAGCCUAGAGGAAAUUUACCAUCACCGGCUAAGUGAUGUUUUUUCUUUUCAAAUGUAUCCUUUCUGACAUGAUCAUAAAAAGCAAUUCUGGAAAGCGGCUUUGUUUUAUCUUGUCCAUAGGAUUUAUGGGUCUUUAACUUUGCACUUAUCGGCUAUUUAAAGCGACACAAGACUAAAAUUAAAAAUCAUAAACAAAUUCGAACUGCUUUAUUAUUCAAAAUUAUCUUGUACAUGUUUCAAUAUAAUAGUGUAAAAAUGAAUCACACAUCUUGAAUUUUUUCAUAAAUUGCCCCCAAACUGGUAGCAAUAUAGUUCGGUUUU
Dendroctonus ponderosae (mountain pine beetle) is the source of this 2072-nucleotide long non-coding RNA. RefSeq lists it as uncharacterized. The record is from RefSeq and is a predicted model, not a curated record. The transcript is spliced from 2 exons. NCBI's taxonomy places the organism in Eukaryota, Metazoa, Arthropoda, Insecta, Coleoptera, Curculionidae.